CUGGAGUGAUGGCAGAUGUUUGGGCAGUUGUUUGUUGUGUGCUGACUGUUUGGAUUAACAAAGGCUUGAGUUUGCCAGUUGGUGGCACAAAUGAAGACAUGAUGAUGAGCUGCAGAGGAGAAUGAUUAGAGAUAUGUCUCCCAAUGAUGUCUCCGUGAAGAGGGCCUUUGCACUUGUCCAGUCAAUGGAGUCCAAGUUGAUCCAAGCUGCUAAAAAAGCACAACAGGAAACCAAUGAAGUGGAAGCUGAGGCAGCUAUUCAAAAACUGGAAUAUGUUCAAUUGCCCCUGAACGGACCCGAACGGCUCAAAACCUGCCUGACGCUGGGCGACCAGCCCGCCAACCAGAC
Long non-coding RNA from Etheostoma cragini (Arkansas darter), 348 nucleotides. RefSeq lists it as uncharacterized. The transcript has 4 exons. The record is from RefSeq and is a predicted model, not a curated record. NCBI's taxonomy places the organism in Eukaryota, Metazoa, Chordata, Actinopteri, Perciformes, Percidae.